Molecule: ribosomal RNA, 543 nt
Filed under: Fusarium graminearum
Lineage: Eukaryota; Fungi; Ascomycota; Sordariomycetes; Hypocreales; Nectriaceae
Description: eukaryotic LSU rRNA
Rfam family: 5.8S ribosomal RNA (bases 187-340)
Source: RNAcentral
CAUGUCUGUCUCCGUUGGUGACCAGCGGAGGGUCAUUACCGAGUUUACAACUCCCAAACCCCUGUGAACAUACCUUAUGUUGCCUCGGCGGAUCAGCCCGCGCCCCGUAAAAAGGGACGGCCCGCCGCAGGAACCCUAAACUCUGUUUUUAGUGGAACUUCUGAGUAUAAAAAACAAAUAAAUCAAAACUUUCAACAACGGAUCUCUUGGUUCUGGCAUCGAUGAAGAACGCAGCAAAAUGCGAUAAGUAAUGUGAAUUGCAGAAUUCAGUGAAUCAUCGAAUCUUUGAACGCACAUUGCGCCCGCCAGUAUUCUGGCGGGCAUGCCUGUUCGAGCGUCAUUUCAACCCUCAAGCCCAGCUUGGUGUUGGGAGCUGCAGUCCUGCUGCACUCCCCAAAUACAUUGGCGGUCACGUCGAGCUUCCAUAGCGUAGUAAUUUACACAUCGUUACUGGUAAUCGUCGCGGCCACGCCGUUAAACCCCAACUUCUGAAUGUUGACCUCGGAUCAGGUAGGAAUACCCGCUGAACUUAAGCAUAUCAAA